AGCAGGGUGGCUCAGUGGAAAGAGCACGGGCUUUGGAGUCAGAGGUCAUGAGUUUGAAUCCCAGCUCUGCCA
This 72-nucleotide transfer RNA is filed under the name Ornithorhynchus anatinus (platypus). It matches the Rfam family "tRNA". From Rfam's summary of the family: Transfer RNA (tRNA) molecules are approximately 80 nucleotides in length. The record is from Rfam by way of RNAcentral. Lineage: Eukaryota; Metazoa; Chordata; Mammalia; Monotremata; Ornithorhynchidae.